This 234-nucleotide long non-coding RNA is filed under the name Phaseolus vulgaris (common bean). RNAcentral's name for it is "long non-coding RNA (PVUL_LNC002190)". The record is from RNAcentral. Lineage: Eukaryota; Viridiplantae; Streptophyta; Magnoliopsida; Fabales; Fabaceae.
CCAGCGCGGUUGACGCGGCAGCGGAUCCCGGCAACGCGAGUGGAGGGAUGAACGAUGGCAUUGGAGAGAGGGAAAAGAAAACGACGGGAACGAAGUGAAAGUGAUGAGGGUUUGUGUAAUGUGGCGUUAAAUGUGGUGGUGGAGAUAAGGCGCAUGGUGAACCGUGCGCCGGAUAAGGAAAUGGCUCUUGCCAUAUCACACUUACAGUGCUUCAAGAUUAGGGUUUUGAGAGGU